AGUCGGCCGGACGGCCGCUCCCGCUGGUGCCGAAAGGCCGCGGGGGAGGAAAGUCCGGGCUCCAUCGACAUACGGUGCCGGAUAACGUCCGGCGGGGGCAACCCCAGGGAAAGUGCCACAGAGAACGAACCGCUCCCUCCUCGGAGGAAGUAAGGGUGAAAAGGUGCGGUAAGAGCGCACCGCGUGUCCGGCAACGGAGACGGCAUGGCAAACCACACCGGGAGCAAAACCGAAUAGGGACGGCAACGCGGUUAGUUCGCGCAUGCGCGAUAACACCGCAGGGCGAUGUCAGGCCCGCUGUCCGGGUAGGUUGCUCGAGGCAAGGUGCAAACCUUGUCCCAGAGGAAUGGCCGUCACGUACCAUUCGAAAGAACGGUGCCCUACAGAACCCGGCUUACAGGCCGGCUGA
RNAcentral lists this RNase P RNA (409 nucleotides) under uncultured Bradyrhizobium sp. Its description in RNAcentral is "Bacterial RNase P class A". It matches the Rfam family "Bacterial RNase P class A". Rfam says of the family: Ribonuclease P (RNase P) is a ubiquitous endoribonuclease, found in archaea, bacteria and eukarya as well as chloroplasts and mitochondria. Its best characterised activity is the generation of mature 5'-ends of tRNAs by cleaving the 5'-leader elements of precursor-tRNAs. Lineage: Bacteria; Pseudomonadati; Pseudomonadota; Alphaproteobacteria; Hyphomicrobiales; Nitrobacteraceae. The record is from RNAcentral.